This 5885-nucleotide long non-coding RNA is filed under the name Salmo salar (Atlantic salmon). RNAcentral describes it as "lncRNA (ENSSSAG00000082342.1)". Lineage: Eukaryota; Metazoa; Chordata; Actinopteri; Salmoniformes; Salmonidae. The record is from RNAcentral.
UGUGUGUGUGUGUGUGUGUGUGGGGGGGGGAGAGCAGGCGCAUGGUACUCCCCAUGGUAGCCCAGUCGUACUGAAGGAUAAACAGUGAUUAUCUGGGCUGCCUGGAGAGAGACACAUGCUUAUGUACCACUCUCAGACAGACCACACAUACAUGUGAGGGACACGGUAGCCAAGACAACGCUCUAGCUGCAGUCAGAGGAGAAUAACACAUAAACAAAGACACGCAGAAUCACGUUCAGUCAAGUGUGAAUUGUCAUGUCUCUCAUACACGCGUCCACACAGAUACACAAACUAUGCCGCCGAUAGUGAGGCGAGUGUGAGGCGUCUGUGAGGUAAGAAAGAUCAAAGCUACUUAAUCAGCUUUAACAGACACACUUAGAGAGAGAGAUGUGGGACAGCGGGAAAAGAAAGAAUGGGGAGAGGGAGGGAUAGCAGAGAACAGAGGGUAGAGAAAGUGGUGACAGGCGGUGACACUGCGCGUGUCCUCGUUCCCUGUUUAAGAUGGGAUAAUCACACACACACACACACACACACACACACACACACACACACACACACACACACACACACACACACACACACACACACACACACACACACACACACACACACACACAAGCUGUGCUCUGUCCUCCGUGUCCCCCUCACAGCCCACUGUGACAUGCUGUUGCCAAUGCCACGAUACUGUGUGUGUGUGUGUGUGUGUGUGUGUGUGUGUGUAGUGUCUGUCUCUUCUUUUCCUAUAUGCCUAUUCCAUCUCUUUCUCUCCCCCUCCCUCUCUUUGUAAACCCUUUCUUUGCUUACCCUUUACCUCCUCCCUCUCUUCUCUCUCGCCCACUACGUCUCUCUUACAGGAAUUGUUAGCAGAUGUGGACAGAGCUUUUUCCUUCAUCUAAAAUUAGCCCCAAUAGAAGAAUGGCAGGAAAAGAGGGAGGGAGGGAAAGGGGGAUUGAUGGAGAAGCAGAAAGGAAUAGGGAAGGAAUAGGUUGAUGGUCUCGGUGAAGUAAGGGUGUAUUUUUGGGACCUCACACACCAUGCUGACGCAGUCAAGCCGUCGGGGGCACAAACAAAUUUGGAGGAGAGGAACAGCGUCCCGGCGUCUGAGUAGCAUGUGAUGCUAACCCGUCCUGCUGUUGUUGAAAAGGCCUGGAUUAGGAUUAGUUGUAAGUGAAUAAUGAUGAGUUGGGACUAUAGAAAGGUCUUGAUCCAUCUCAGCAGUUACAUAAUUAGGACUCUAUAAAAUCAGUUAUACUUUUGAUCUGAACUGUUUAGUUUUCCCCAAAUCCCGUUUUCUCUGUUUACUUUUUCCACGUUUCUGUUUUCCCCAACUUUUUUUCAGGUUUUCACUCUCUAAAGUCAACAACAAUACUGAAUCCACAUCAGGAGACCGCUUUUGAGGUCUGUGGAUUUUGGUGUUGUUGAAAUGUAGGUUUCUGUGUUACUGUUUAAUUCCAUUGUGCAGUUAGCAAGAGGCUGUUGUUUUUGUAGCUCACGUGAUGGUAGAGUUAACAAAAAAACAUUGACGCAAAUAAUCCUGAUAUCAUUCUGCCAGGUAAGCGUAGGCUACCUUGUAGUUAACAUUUAAUUGAGAAGGUUUUUGGGAAAGCCUUUCUAUCUACCAGGAGACUUUUCAUUAGCAUCAUCGCUAACAGCUACACAGUGGUAGACGUACCGCACAUACAGACAGGGGGAAUUAUUGUUGCCUCUUCAGAAAGUUGCAGGAAAAUACACAUCACUGAGGCAUUCUGUAUGCUAGUCAAUACAGUUCAAUCAAUACAUUUUUUAUUUAUUUUUGAAUUCAGUUUUAAUGUCUGGAUGUUAUAGGACCCGACAUAAUACACUCAGCCUCUCGUUGGCACCAGGGACACUGAUGUUUUGUGUGUGUGUGUGUGUGUCUGUGAGCACGUGUGUGGAAGAGAACAGAGAAGUCCUGUAUAGUGUAACAGGUGAGUGAGAGGCGCCUGCAGUGGAUUCCCCAGGACACUACAGGACAGACCAGACAGACAGGCAGCACCACUCAACACACUGGCUGCAUAGCCUACAUAGUGAGACACAUGGAUCAAACACCAUACUGAGGUCGCUAAUGAAUGAAGUAUCACAUCACCUUAAACAAUCACCUGAAGAGUUGCAUCGUUUCAUUACUUUGUAAUGGGGUCAUUUAGUUCAGAUAAACUCCACAACUCUAACCAGUCCCUUAACAGUAGAAGUGUGAUAGAGUCUGACAGAGAGAGCAGUUGAGGUGGGGAGGACCGUAGAGCAGUUGAGGUGGGGAGGACCGUAGAGCAGUUGAGGUGGGGAGGACCGUAGAGCAGUUGAGGUGGGGAGGACCGUAGAGCAGUUGAGGUGGGGAGGACCGUAGAGCAGUUGAGGUGGGGAGGCUGUUCAUAUCAACAGGCGGUCAGGUGUUUUUUUCUUCUUAACAUUCCCACAAUGUUAAUCUGCCCUGGAACGUACCGGCCACUGGAUAGGAGGUGUUAGUGGGAACGUACCGGCCACUGGAUAGGAGGUGUUAGUGGGAACGUACCGGCCACUAGAUAGGAGGUGUUAGUGGGAACGUACCGGCCACUGGAUAGGAGGUGUUAGUGGGAACGUACCGGCCACUGGAUAGGAGGUGUUAGUGGGAACGUACCGGCCACUGGAUAGGAGGUGUUAGUGGGAACGUACCGGCCACUAGAUAGGAGGUGUUAGUGGGAACGUACCGGCCACUGGAUAGGAGGUGUUAGUGGGAAAGUACCGGCCACUGGAUAGGAGGUGUUAGUGGGAACGUACCGGCCACUGGAUAGGAGGUGUUAGUGGGAACGUACCGGCCACUGGAUAGGAGGAGUGAGUGGGAACGUACCGGCCACUGGAUAGGAGGUGUUAGUGGGAACGUACCGGCCACUGGAUAGGAGGUGUUAGUGGGAACGUACCGGCCACUGGAUAGGAGGUGUUAGUGGGAACGUACCGGCCACUGGAUAGGAGGAGUGAGUGGGAACGUUCCGGCCACUGGAUAGGAGGUGUUAGUGGGAACGUGCCGGCCACUGGAUAGGAGGAGUGAGGGGGAACGUGCCGGCCACUGGAUAGGAGGAGUGAGGGGGAACGUGCCGGCCACUGGAUAGGAGGUGUUAGUGGGAACGUGCCGGCCACUGGAUAGGAGGUGUUAGUGGGAACGUACCGGCCACUGGAUAGGAGGACUGAGUGGGAACGUGCCGGCCACUGGAUAGGAGGUGUUAGUGGGAACGUGCCGGCCACUGGAUAGGAGGAGUGAGUGGGAACGUGCCGGCCACUGGAUAGGAGGAGUGAGUGGGAACGUACCGGCCACUGGAUAGGAGGAGUGACGGGGAACGUGCCGGCCACUGGAUAGGAGGUGUGAGGGGGAACGUACCGGCCACUGCAUAGGAGGUGUUAGUGGGAACGUACCGGCCACUGGAUAGGAGGAGUGAGUGGGAACGUGCCUGCCACUGGAUAGGAGGUGUUAGUGGGAACGUGCCGGCCACUGGAUAGGAGGUGUGAGUGGGAACGUACCGGCCACUGGAUAGGAGGUGUGAGUGGGAACGUACCGGCCACUGGAUAGGAGGAGUGAGUGGGAACGUGCCUGCCACUGGAUAGGAGGUGUUAGUGGGAACGUGCCGGCCACUGGAUAGGAGGAGUGAGGGGGAACGUGCCGGCCACUGGAUAGGAGGUGUUAGUGGGAACGUGCCGCCCACUGGAUAGGAGGAGUGAGUGGGAACGUACCGGCCACUGGAUAGGAGGAGUGAGUGGGAACGUGCCGGCCACUGGAUAGGAGUAGUGAGUGGGAACGUGCCGGCCACUGGAUAGGAGGAGUGAGUGGGAACGUACCGGCCACUGGAUAGGAGGAGUGAGUGGGAACGUGCCGGCCACUGGAUAGGAGGUGUGAGUGGGAACGUGCCGGCCACUGGAUAGGAGGUGUGAGUGGGAACGUACCGGCCACUGGAUAGGAGGUGUGAGUGGGAACGUACCGGCCACUGGAUAGGAGGUGUUAGUGGGAACGUACCGGCCACUGGAUAGGAGGAGUGAGUGGGAACGUGCCGGCCACUGGAUAGGAGGUGUUAGUGGGAACGUACCGGCCACUGGAUAGGAGGAGUGAGUGGGAACGUGCCGGCCACUGGAUAGGAGGUGUUAGUGGGAACGUACCGGCCACUGGAUAGGAGGAGUGAGUGGGAACGUGCCGAUAGGAGGAGUGAGUGGGAACGUACCGGCCACUGGAUAGGAGGAGUGAUGGGAGUCAUGCUGUGUUUUCUUUGAUAAUGUAUUGAAUGUGAGGUUUGGAUGCAUGCCGUGCAGGUCAGUAUAAGACCAACUGUAACAGUAUCUAACGUUGUGGCUUGCGAGACACAGCUACAGCAAGUCUGCCUACCCAGGAACUACAGAUGGAAAGUAUUGGAGUUGGUCUGGACUUAUGUCGGCUAUUGCUGUUGAGGAGCUGUUAGCAAAAGUGAUGAUAAUAUUACUAACACGGUUAGAAACCAUGCAAGGACGAUGUGAAGAGUAGUCUAGCUAUAUUUAAAGAGUUACACGGAGUUGUUCUGAGAGGAGAGGUGGUACAGCCUUUGUGGAACAGUGUAUUGUAGUUCACGGUGUCUCAGUGCAGCUUGGCCCAGCUGGCCUGCAUGGCUGGUUUGUCUUCACCACCCCUAGUUACUGCCUGGUGUUGGACUAUGGAACGGUUCUGUUCUUCCACUGCCAGGUAGAGUGGGCUUCUCUCUCUCUCACACACACACACACACACACACACACACACACACACACACACACACACACACACACACACACACACACACACACACACACACACACACACACACACAGCGAGGCAGAGUGUGGGUCUUGGAAGUGAGAGGAGCGAGAUUCUUCUCUCAUUCAGCAAAGAACUCUGUCGUCUCACGAUUACCUGUUGCUGGCUUCCUCUCUCCCUCCUCAUCCUCCACCACCACCUUUCUCUUACCUGUUCUGUUUGAGUCUUUGCUGCUCUGUGUUUGAAAGGAUUAAUUGUCAUGUAUGUUAAUUUUUUUUGUUCUGUUUGUUUCUGGGGGGUUAUUUUUAGGCCUGAAGUGUCUGGUUGCUAGGACACAGUGUCCAGGAGAGAGAGGGAGGGAGAGAAAAGGAAGGGAAUGGAGGGAGAGAGAUGUGUUUGCGUUGUGAAGGCUGAAUUACACACUCACACACUUAGUCAGCGAUGACGCACAUACACACACACACACACAUCCUGCCCAGUAACUGUUAUUGUGAACUUGUUUUUCUAGUUUUGUGUAACUUCUUGUCAUUAGGUCUGUUCUGUGUGUGUCACUGUCAUGCUGGUUUGGCUUUCCUGACUGUACCUCUCUACCUGCUGUCACUGUGUGCUCCGGUCUGUCUGUGUUCCUGUCUGUCUGUGUUCCUGUCUGUCUGUGUUCCUGUCUGUCUGUGUUCCUGUCUGUCUGUGUUCCUGUCUGUCUGUGUUCCUGUCUGUCUGUGUUCCUGUCUGUCUGUGUUCCUGUCUGUCUGUGUUCCUGUCUGUCUGUGUUCCUGCCUGUGUCAGUGUGUUAUUAGUGUGAGUGCUGGUCAGAGCAGCACACUUGUUGAGCUCUGCCAUUUCUCCUGCGGUGGCAUUGCAUCAGCUUCUCUCUGUCACACAGGACCAUCUCCUGGGUGUUAACACACCUUCCUGGUCUAGGUCCUACAGGCUUUCAGACAUGACAUGUUGACCAUCCCAGUUCUACAGGCCUGCUGGAUUUCACCUGGUGGCCAACUUUACAAAGUGUUCUCUUUUCACUGGAUGUCUAUAUGAGGGAUGCAUGCUCUCUCUCACUCUCUCACUCUCUCACUCUCUCACACACACACACACACACACACACACACACACACACACACACACACACACACACACACACACACACACACACACA